UAGGGAAUCUUCCACAAUGGACGCAAGUCUGAUGGAGCAACGCCGCGUGAGUGAAGGAGGCUUUCGGGUCGUAAAACUCUGUUAUUGAAGAAGAACGUGUGUGACAGUAACUGGUCAUGCAGUGACGGUAUUCAAUCAGAAAGUCACGGCUAACUACGUGCCAGCAGCCGCGGUAAUACGUAGGUGGCAAGCGUUGUCCGGAUUUAUUGGGCGUAAAGCGAGUGCAGGCGGUCUUUUAAGUCUGAUGUGAAAGCCUUCGGCUUAACCGAAGAAGGGCAUCGGAAACUGGGAGACUUGAGUGCAGAAGAGGAGAGUGGAACUCCAUGUGUAGCGGUGAAAUGCGUAGAUAUAUGGAAGAACACUAGUGGCGAAGGCGGCUCUCUGGUCUGUAACUGACGCUGAGGCUCGAAAGCGUGGGUAGCAAACAGGAUUAGAUACCCUGGUGUCCACGCCGUAAACGAUGAAUACUAAGUGUU
Molecule: ribosomal RNA, 476 nt
Filed under: uncultured bacterium
Lineage: Bacteria
Description: partial 16S ribosomal RNA
Rfam family: Bacterial small subunit ribosomal RNA
Source: RNAcentral